Molecule: ribosomal RNA, 167 nt
Filed under: Gymnogobius macrognathos
Lineage: Eukaryota; Metazoa; Chordata; Actinopteri; Gobiiformes; Gobiidae
Description: partial 12S rRNA
Source: RNAcentral
CACCGCGGUUAUACGAGAGGCCCAAGUUGACAAAUACCGGCGUAAAAUGUGGUUAACAUGACAAUGCACUAAAGCUAAACAUCUUCAGAGCUGUUAUACCCACAUGAAGACAGGAAGUACUUCUACGAAAGUGGCUUUAAACAAUGCUAUCCACGAAAGCUAGGAAA